RNAcentral lists this ribosomal RNA (484 nucleotides) under uncultured bacterium. Its description in RNAcentral is "partial 16S ribosomal RNA". It matches the Rfam family "Bacterial small subunit ribosomal RNA", at positions 29 to 507 of the family's 1533-position model. The record is from RNAcentral.
AUUGAACGCUGGCGGCAUGCUUUACACAUGCAAGUCGAACGGCAGCACGGGGGCAGCCCUGGUGGCGAGUGGCGAACGGGUGAGUAAUACAUCGGAACGUGCCCGGUCGUGGGGGAUAACGUAGCGAAAGUUACGCUAAUACCGCAUACGAUCUGAGGAUGAAAGCGGGGGACCUUCGGGCCUCGCGCGAUCGGAGCGGCCGAUGUCAGAUUAGGUAGUUGGUGGGGUAAAGGCUUACCAAGCCGACGAUCUGUAGCUGGUCUGAGAGGACGACGAGCCACACUGGGACUGAGACACGGCCCAGACUCCUACGGGAGGCAGCAGUGGGGAAUGUUGGACAAUGGGCGCAAGCCUGAUCCAGCCAUGCCGCGUGCAGGACGAAGGCCUUCGGGUUGUAAACUGCUUUUGUACGGAACGAAAAGGCUCUGGCUAAUACCUGGGGCUCAUGACGGUACCGGAAGAAUAAGCACCGGCUAACUACGUG